This is an RNA transcript of Brassica napus (rape), 1119 nucleotides long. It is a transcript of the gene named sucrose synthase 2-like, with no coding region annotated. NCBI's taxonomy places the organism in Eukaryota, Viridiplantae, Streptophyta, Magnoliopsida, Brassicales, Brassicaceae. The record is from RefSeq and is a predicted model, not a curated record. The transcript is spliced from 3 exons.
GAUAGUUUAAGAUGCAAAAAAAAAAAUAUUUACUUAAUAAAUAUAAUAUAAAUGAAUAUUACAAAUACACCAUUUAAUAAAAAAAAAAUAAUUAAGGAUUAGGAGAGACGUCUCUUCUUCCUCUAUCUUUUCUUCUCCGUCUCUGCUGUCUCUCUAAUCUCUCUCUCUCCUUCUUUCAAUUGGAUUCUUGAACUCAUCUUCCCCAUCCACAACCAUGACUGAGGUAGAGAGAGGAGAACUCAACUUGUUAAUUUGAAAUUGAUCUGAAGUCUUGUAGAGAGAAGAGAAAUCUUCGAAGCUGAGACCGGCGUUUCCAGGUUGGAUGUAGGACUCGACGGUGGACAUGACAAAGAGCUCAAGUAGUUUCUAAACUGCAACUGUUAUUGAGAAUGAGGAUGAUGAUAGUUUUGAUCUUGGAUCCGUGUGUUUAGAACAGUGUAAUGUGAAACGUGUUGUGCCUGAGAGAGUUCUGGUUGUCAAGUUCUUACCUUGCGAGGGUGUAAAGCUGGUUGCUGCAGGGCACAAGGAUGGGAACGUUGGAUUUUGGAAUCUUGACUGUCAGAACGAGGAAGAGGAUGGUGGUGUAUCUCUGUUCAAGCCUCACACUUAUUCAGUUACAUCUCUUGUCUUUCAACAAAACUCUUUCUCAAAGGUUGCAACUACUUUGGUCAGCUUCUUCGAGACUUGCAACGCUGAUCCAAGUCAUUGGGAGAAAAUCUCUGAUGGAGGGCUUGAGCGAAUCUAUGAAAGGUUGACCUCGUUUUUCCUUGACAGGCUCAACAAAAGAACCGUACUCGCUUCACCAAGAUGACUGCAUCAUUAAGGGGUUUGUGCAUGUAUUAGGUACACAUGGAAGAAGUACUCAGAGAGGCUGCUUACGCUAGCUGGUGUCUAUUCAUUCUGGAAACAUGUGUCUAAGCUUGAAAGGAGAGAAACACGACGUUAUCUAGAGAUGUUUUACUCUCUGAAGUUCCGGGAUCUGGUCAGUGUAAUUCACUCUUCCUUCUUUCAGUUUCUUCGCUUAGUUUACUUGUAUGAUCAUAUUACUACUUGCUGACUCCCUGUUGUUUUUCUGUUUAUGUUGUCUUUGAAUAAAAAGCUAUUGUCAGCUUUUGUUGA